This 253-nucleotide ribosomal RNA is filed under the name uncultured bacterium. RNAcentral describes it as "partial 16S ribosomal RNA". It matches the Rfam family "Bacterial small subunit ribosomal RNA", at positions 524 to 776 of the family's 1533-position model. The record is from RNAcentral.
UACAGAGGGUGCGAGCGUUAAUCGGAAUUACUGGGCGUAAAGCGUGCGUAGACGGUUCUGUAAGUCGGAUGUGAAAUCCCCGGGCUCAACCUGGGAAUUGCAUUCGAGACUGCAAAGCUUGGGUGCGGAAGAGGGAAGCGGAAUUUCCGGUGUAGCGGUGAAAUGCGUAGAUAUCGGAAGGAACACCAGUGGCGAAGGCGACCACCUGGACUGAUACUGACACUGAGGUGCGAAAGCGUGGGGAGCAAACAGG